This 255-nucleotide ribosomal RNA is filed under the name uncultured bacterium. Its description in RNAcentral is "partial 16S ribosomal RNA". It matches the Rfam family "Bacterial small subunit ribosomal RNA", at positions 524 to 776 of the family's 1533-position model. The record is from RNAcentral.
UACGGGGGGGAGCAAGCGUUGUUCGGAUUUACUGGGCGUAAAGGGCGCGUAGGCGGCCACCGCAAGUCGACUGUGAAAUCUCCGGGCUUAACCCGGAAAGGUCAGCCGAUACUGCGGGGCUAGAGUGCAGAAGGGGCAACUGGAAUUCUCGGUGUAGCGGUGAAAUGCGUAGAUAUCGAGAGGAACACCUGCGGCGAAGGCGGGUUGCUGGGCUGAUACUGACGCUGAGGCGCGAAAGCCAGGGGAGCGAACGGG